Acyrthosiphon pisum (pea aphid) is the source of this 1307-nucleotide long non-coding RNA. RefSeq lists it as uncharacterized. The transcript is spliced from 3 exons. NCBI's taxonomy places the organism in Eukaryota, Metazoa, Arthropoda, Insecta, Hemiptera, Aphididae. The record is from RefSeq and is a predicted model, not a curated record.
ACUAUUAGAAUAUUAUCAUUACAAAAUGCUGUCUGGGAGUGUUGAUUUUUCUAAACGUAAGUUUUCCAUGUAUAUUUGGCGUGGGUUGGAGAGAGAAAACAAAUAGGGUGCGCUGAACCUUUGCGCCGAAAGUCGGAUAUUAGACCCAUAUUAUAUAAAUUGUGUUAUUGUCAUCGUCCCUAUAUAACAUUAUACGCAUACUGGGCAACACCGCCGCCGCUGCCCCAGCCACCAUCACUCGUCGCUGUUGCCGCUGCCACCGAUCAAUAAAUACGACGAUGGAUAUAUAUUUGCCAACCCCACACCGUCCUUCAGCUUGGCAUACGGGACCACCACCACCGAUCGGGCUGAUGUGAGCACUCGACGAUCAACAUUGAUAAGUCUUGAUUUUAAUACUAUUAUAUAACUUAAUUAUACAAUAUUAUUGUUUUGAAUCGUAUUAAAAUAUAUAUGUUGUAGGUACUGUUCGGAGAGACGUAUUUGUCACCUACUCGUUAAACUACUUUAUUAUUAUUUAUUACAAUUAAUUACAAUAUAAUAUACUUCGCGAUGGUUAUUGGCCAUAUUACCUGUCUUGACAUGAUUAAAUUACGAAGUUAUAAUAGCUCAUAAUCUGUGUACGCGGUGUGAGUUGUCGGACCAACUACGUUUUAAAAGUCGCACACUUGUGUUAUGCAGCCGAAGAUGGUGUAUAAAGCUUCAACAGUCGACGAUCUGUGUAUCACUGACAACACCUCCGUAGCCAAACACCAUUCGACCAAGGAUCUGACGCCUAAUUCUUUGAGUGUUUAUGAAAGUGCAACUAUAGCGUAACAUAUUGUGGGCGCUGCAGUUUAAAAGUCGCACAUUUCGUGUUACGCAGAAGGAGAUGGUCUGUAGAGCCUCGAAGGUCAAAGAACUGCUCAGCAACUGUGUAUCGCAGACCAGCACCUCCGUAGUCGAUGACCCACACCAAGGAGCUGCCACCUAAUUCUUUGAGUGUUUAUGAAAGUGCAACUAUAGGGUUACUAUAAAUAUUAAAUAUAAUUAUGAAAGAUGUAACAGUUCAUCAUUUUUUUGUAAACCAUGAUCGUGGCGCUGCAGUUUAAAAGUCGCCCAGGUUAUGGUUUGUAGAAGGAUAUGGUCUAUAGAGUAUCGAAGGUCAACGAACUGCUCAGCAACUAUGUAUCACAGACCAAUACCUCCGUAGCAGAUGACCCGACCAAGAAGAUGACACCUAAUUCUUUGAUUGUUUAUAAAGGUGCAACUAUAGGGUUAUAAUAAACAUUAAAUAUGAUUAUGAAAGGUUUUGUUAAAAUUCGAAAUAU